UGGGGGAUAUUGCACAAUGGGCGAAAGCCUGAUGCAGCGACGCCGCGUGGGGGAUGAAGGCUUUCGGGUUGUAAACCUCUUUCGCUAUCGAACAAGGCCCGCUUAGGGUGGGUUGAGGGUAGGUGGAGAAGAAGCGCCGGCUAACUACGUGCCAGCAGCCGCGGUAAUACGUAGGUCGCGAGCGUUGUCCGGAAUUAUUGGGCGUAAAGGGCUUGUAGGCGGCUUGUUGCGCCUGCUGUGAAAACGCGGGGCUUAACUUCGCGCGUGCAGUGGGUACGGGCAGGCUUGAGUGUGGUAGGGGUGACUGGAAUUCCAGGUGUAGCGGUGGAAUGCGCAGAUAUCUGGAGGAACACCGAUGGCGAAGGCAGGUCACUGGGCCAUUACUGACGCUGAGGAGCGAAAGCAUGGGUAGCGAACAGG
Molecule: ribosomal RNA, 420 nt
Filed under: bacterium
Lineage: Bacteria
Description: partial 16S ribosomal RNA
Rfam family: Bacterial small subunit ribosomal RNA
Source: RNAcentral